Molecule: long non-coding RNA, 1818 nt
Organism: Oncorhynchus keta (chum salmon)
Lineage: Eukaryota; Metazoa; Chordata; Actinopteri; Salmoniformes; Salmonidae
Exons: 3
Source: RefSeq, a predicted model, not a curated record
CUUGAAAUUCCAUUCAUGAACCUUAUAGCAUUUUUGUGAUAAAACAAACAAGAUAGACUACUACUUGACAACCACCAGUCUACUCUAGCUAAAGUAAGACGGUACAGCUGGGCAAUUUAGGGAAGUAGUCAAUAAAGGCUCUGGCUGGUCAGGCAGGUUGGACAACAAAUUGUGUUUUCAUGAUUUGCUGGUAUUCUAAAUGUUCUAGUAUUCUGAUUUCAGCAAUAUAGUUGUGCAUACAGAACUCUCCAUUUGGCAAAUCUGACCAUAACUAUCCUCCUGAUUCCCGUUUACCCACAAAAAACUAAAACAGGAAGUACCAGUGGCAAGCUCAAUAAGGAAGUGGUCUGAUGAAGCGGAUGCUAAGAUACAGGACUGUUUCGCUAGCACAGACUGGAAUAUGUUCAGAGAUUCAUCUGAUGGAAUUGAGGAAUUUACCACAUCAGUCACGAGCUUCAUUACCAAGUGCAUCAACAACAUCAUCCCCACAAUGACCAUAUGUUUAUAUCCCAACCAGAAGCCAUGGAUUACAGGCAACAUUGAGCUGACGCUUUCAAUGAGCGGGACACUAAUCCAGACACUUAUAAGAAAUCCUGCUACACCGCCCAACGAACCAUCAAACAGGCAACGGGUCAAUACAGGACCAAGAUCGAAUCCUACUGCACCAGCUCUGGUGCUCGUCUGAUGUGGCACGUCUUGCAAACUAUCAUGGAUUACAAAGGGAAAUCCGGCCGUGAGCUGUCCAGCGAUGUAAGCCUACCAGACAAGCUUCUAUGCUCGCUUUGAUGAACCAUGCACGAGAGCACCAGCUGUUCCGGAUGACUGUGGGAUCUCGCUCUCCAUAGCCGAUAAUAAGGCUGUAACGUAACAAAAUGUGGAAAAAGUCAAGGGGUCUGAAUACCAUCCAAAUGCACUGACCUGAGCCCUAGGACCAUGCCCCAGGACUACCUGACAUGAUGACUCCUUGCUGUCCCCAGUCCACCUGGCCAUGCUGCUGCUCCAGUUUCAACUGGCCUGGGCCCUAGGACCAUGUCCCAGGACUACCUGACAUGAGGACUCCUUGCUGUCCCCAGUCCACCUGGCCAUGCUCCUGCUCCAGUUUCAACUGUUCUGCCUUACUAUUAUUCAACCAUGCUGGUCAUUUAUGAACAUUUGAACAUCUUGGCCACGUUCUGUUAUAAUCUCCACCCGGCACAGCCAGAAGAGGACUGGCCACCCCACAUAUGCUCUCUCUAAUUCUCUCUUUCUUUCUCUCUCUCGGAGGACCUGAGCCCUAGGACCGUGCCCCAGGACUACCUGACAUGAUGGCUCCUUGCUGUCCCCAGUCCACCUGACUGUGCUGCUGCUCCAGUUUAAACUGUUCUGCCUUAUUAUUAUUCGACCAUGCUGGUCAUUUAUGAACAUUUGAACAUCUUGGUCAUGUUCUGUUAUAAUCUCUACCCGGCACAGCCAGAAGAGGACUGGCCACCCCACAUAGCCCGGUUCCUCUCUAGGUUUCUUCCUAGGUUUUGGCCUUUCUAGGGAGUUUUUCCUAGCCACCGUGCUUUUACACCUGCAUUGUUUGCUGUUUGGGGUUUUAGGCUGGGUUUCUGUACAGCACUUUGAGAUAUCAGCUGAUGUACGAAGGGCUAUAUAAAUAAAUUUGAUUUGAUUUUGAUUUGAUUUAAAGUGCUGUAAUUUCUUAACAGUUCACCCGAUAUCGAUGGAAAUACCCUAAAAUGAAAGCUGACAGUCUGCACUUUAACCACAUAGUCAUUGUAUCAUCCAAAGUGCUGGAGUACAGAGCCAAAACAUCAAAGCAUUUGUCACUGUCCAAAU